Molecule: ribosomal RNA, 248 nt
Filed under: uncultured bacterium
Lineage: Bacteria
Description: partial 16S ribosomal RNA
Rfam family: Bacterial small subunit ribosomal RNA
Source: RNAcentral
AUACGGAGGGUGCGAGCGGUUAAUCGGAAUCACUGGGCGUAAAGCGCACGUAGGCUGCUUGGUAAGUCAGGGGUGAAAGCCCGCGGCUCAACCGCGGAAUUGCCUUUGAUACUGCCGAGCUAGAGUCCGGGAGAGGGUAGUGGAAUUCCAGGUGUAGGAGUGAAAUCCGUAGAGAUCUGGAGGAACAUCAGUGGCGAAGGCGACUACCUGGACCGGUACUGACGCUGAGGUGCGAAAGCGUGGGGAGC